RNAcentral lists this ribosomal RNA (326 nucleotides) under Variovorax paradoxus. RNAcentral's name for it is "bacterial SSU rRNA". It matches the Rfam family "Bacterial small subunit ribosomal RNA", at positions 1039 to 1371 of the family's 1533-position model. The record is from RNAcentral. Lineage: Bacteria; Pseudomonadati; Pseudomonadota; Betaproteobacteria; Burkholderiales; Comamonadaceae.
AGCUAUGGCUGUNGUCAGCUCGUGUCGUGAGAUGUUGGGUUAAGUCCCGCAACGAGCGCANCCCUUGUCAUUAGUUGCUACAUUUAGUUGGGCACUCUAAUGAGACUGCCGGUGACAAACCGGAGGAAGGUGGGGAUGACGUCAAGUCCUCAUGGCCCUUAUAGGUGGGGCUACACACGUCAUACAAUGGNUGGUACAAAGGGUUGCCAACCCGCGAGGGGGAGCUAAUCNCAUAAAACCAGUCGUAGUCCGGAUCGCAGUCUGCAACUCGACUGCGUGAAGUCGGAAUCGCUAGUAAUCGUGAUCAGAAUGUCACGGUAAUACGU